UUGGGCAGUACUGGUGCUGCAGAAUGUCUGUGUUUAUAGGUGCAAGGUGCUGAGCAAUGCAAUGGAGAAGGGGAGUCAGGGCCAGACUGCCCAAGGAACCUCAAAGUCAGAGGAAUAAUUUUGGACACUUCAUUUGGGCAUGGGGAGCCACGGGAGGGUUUACACAGGGGAAUGAAGAGAUAAGAGUUGU
Molecule: long non-coding RNA, 190 nt
Organism: Pipistrellus kuhlii (Kuhl's pipistrelle)
Lineage: Eukaryota; Metazoa; Chordata; Mammalia; Chiroptera; Vespertilionidae
Exons: 3
Source: RefSeq, a predicted model, not a curated record